Molecule: ribosomal RNA, 523 nt
Filed under: Vibrio splendidus
Lineage: Bacteria; Pseudomonadati; Pseudomonadota; Gammaproteobacteria; Vibrionales; Vibrionaceae
Description: bacterial SSU rRNA
Rfam family: Bacterial small subunit ribosomal RNA
Source: RNAcentral
AGAGUUUGUCUGGCUCAGAUUGAACGCUGGCGGCAGGCCUAACACAUGCAAGUCGAGCGGAAACGACAUUAACAAUCCUUCGGGUGCGUUAAUGGGCGUCGAGCGGCGGACGGGUGAGUAAUGCCUAGGAAAUUGCCUUGAUGUGGGGGAUAACCAUUGGAAACGAUGGCUAAUACCGCAUAAUGCCUACGGGCCAAAGAGGGGGAUCUUCGGACCUCUCGCGUCAAGAUAUGCCUAGGUGGGAUUAGCUAGUUGGUGAGGUAAUGGCUCACCAAGGCGACGAUCCCUAGCUGGUCUGAGAGGAUGAUCAGCCACACUGGAACUGAGACACGGUCCAGACUCCUACGGGAGGCAGCAGUGGGGAAUAUUGCACAAUGGGCGAAAGCCUGAUGCAGCCAUGCCGCGUGUAUGAAGAAGGCCUUCGGGUUGUAAAGUACUUUCAGUUGUGAGGAAGGGGGUAACGUUAAUAGCGUUAUCUCUUGACGUUAGCAACAGAAGAAGCACCGGCUAACUCCGUGCCAGC